Long non-coding RNA from Ailuropoda melanoleuca (giant panda), 1128 nucleotides. RefSeq lists it as uncharacterized. The transcript is spliced from 3 exons. NCBI's taxonomy places the organism in Eukaryota, Metazoa, Chordata, Mammalia, Carnivora, Ursidae. The record is from RefSeq and is a predicted model, not a curated record.
GGCGGAGCCAAACUGGAUCCAUGAAGGAGGCGGCGUGUCUCACCUUUCUGCCACCCGCCGGUUUUCAUUCCCCACUCCAUCGCCACCAAUCCUGUCACCCCACCUCACCCCAGGCCUCGGCUUAAAAAAAAUCCCCUUUGCAUCCCUCCUGGAUCUCAUUCUCUCUGGAUACAACCUUGACCCUGAAGUUGGCCUGUGCCCUUCCUGUCCAUGCUUUCAUACUUCCGCUGCCUUGACAAUGCUGCAAUGAACAUCUUUGUCCCAUGUUCCCUGGUCCCCCCACACAACAGGUUCUCUCUGGAAUGUGUCUGGAAACACGGGUUCUGGGGUGUGAGGUGCGAGCAUUCUCCAGCCCCGCUGCCCGGGGAUUGCCAAUUGCUCUGGGAGUGAAUGAAGUGAUUUCUACACCCCACCCCCCAGCAAGGGGUGAGUCCCUGUUUCCCCACAUCUUCACCAGUACUUUGUGAUGUCACUCUUUCAAUUUUUUAGCAUGAUAUCUUCUUGCCUGCUCCUCCAGGCGGUGAGAGGUGACUCAUUUCUUGUGAUGUUCUAUCUUUGAAUUGAAUGUCCAAUGGACAUUUUUAAAUGUUUUGCAGUUUCUCCUUUUGCACAGACCAGUGCAGACAGGCUCCUGCCCUGGGUGCCAUUGGUUUCCUCUAAGUGUUCCUAGUGUCAUCAGAAGAAAUGCCCUUGACCAGCCUCCUUGCCGCCUCCCUCCCAACACAGUGUCCCUCCUCGCUGCAUUCUCAAGCUGCCAUUCUAAGCAGAAUCAACAGAGCAGGGCUGGCUUCAUGGGUGAGUGACUGUUGAGGAAUGUCAUCGAGAAAACGUGACCGCUGAUUGACCCAUGAGCUGGGGUCAUGGGGUACUCAGAGGCUCCUCGCCCCCUCUCCCUCCCUUGGAAUGUGGGUUCCUCUUGCCUUUCCUGUUCCCAGAGCCUGCUCCGAGGUCGGAGUCUUGAGACAGUGAUGUGUGUUGAGGACACCUGAAUGGUAUAUAUGACUCAACACAGUUAAAGCCUUUUUAUAAACUUCUAAGAUUUGUCAGGUGGUGCAAGGAUCUGUUUGUCUCGCUGCUGCCUGAGACUACCUCGUGUAUAAGUUCCCUUUGCUUAUUAAAACUGCCGCC